This 248-nucleotide ribosomal RNA is filed under the name uncultured Eubacteriales bacterium. Its description in RNAcentral is "uncultured Clostridiales bacterium partial 16S ribosomal RNA". It matches the Rfam family "Bacterial small subunit ribosomal RNA", at positions 524 to 771 of the family's 1533-position model. Lineage: Bacteria; Bacillati; Bacillota; Clostridia; Eubacteriales. The record is from RNAcentral.
UACGUAGGUGGCAAGCGUUGUCCGGAAUGACUGGGCGUAAAGGGAGCGUAGGCGGCGCAGCAAGUUAGGAGUGAAAUCCCGGGGCUUAACCCCGGAACUGCUUUUAAAACUGCUGUGCUUGAGUGAUGGAGAGGAAAGCGGAAUUCCUAGUGUAGCGGUGGAAUGCGUAGAUAUUAGGAGGAACACCAGAGGCGAAGGCGGCUUUCUGGACAUUAACUGACGCUGAGGCUCGAAAGCGUGGGGAGCAA